This 209-nucleotide ribosomal RNA is filed under the name uncultured bacterium. Its description in RNAcentral is "partial 16S ribosomal RNA". It matches the Rfam family "Bacterial small subunit ribosomal RNA", at positions 568 to 774 of the family's 1533-position model. The record is from RNAcentral.
UGCGUAGGCGGGUUUCUAAGUCAGAGGUGAAAGCCUGGAGCUCAACUCCAGAACUGCCUUUGAUACUGGAAGUCUUGAGUAUGGCAGAGGUGAGUGGAACUGCGAGUGUAGAGGUGAAAUUCGUAGAUAUUCGCAAGAACACCAGUGGCGAAGGCGGCUCACUGGGCCAUUACUGACGCUGAGGCACGAAAAGCGUGGGGGAGCAAACA